This is a small nuclear RNA of Fukomys damarensis (Damara mole-rat), 103 nucleotides long. NCBI's taxonomy places the organism in Eukaryota, Metazoa, Chordata, Mammalia, Rodentia, Bathyergidae. The record is from Ensembl.
GUGCUCGCCUCGGCACCACAUACACUAAAAUUGGAACAGUACAGAGACUAGCAUGGCCCUGCACGAGGAUAACCCACAAAUUUGUGCAGCAUUCCAUAUUUUU